Molecule: long non-coding RNA, 723 nt
Organism: Eucalyptus grandis
Lineage: Eukaryota; Viridiplantae; Streptophyta; Magnoliopsida; Myrtales; Myrtaceae
Exons: 2
Source: RefSeq, a predicted model, not a curated record
AAUAAGGAGAUGGCCGGGGGAGGGGGAGGGGGAGGGAACGCGAGUAGUCAUGUGUUCCCUUCAUUUUCAUGUAAUUAUGUGGUGGACAGAGAGAUCAGUGAGUGGGGGAACGAAUGCAGGAAGAGCACCAACAUGAGGAGGGCAGGGAGCUUCCCUCUGCUCUCUUACUCGUCACACUCUCAUUUCAGCUGGGCAACUCUGUACGGAGGACUCAAGGACGCGGUUCCUUGGAGGAGGAGGAGGAGUAGGAAAGCCGGGAAGAUGCGAUCGUGAAUCGUCAUGUGUCUCUUGACAUUUUGCUACUGCCACGUCUCCAUCAUCUCUCUGUCAUCCCCAUACUAGCCAUCACCGUCGCGUUUCGUCGAUCAGCAGUUUUCUGUCCAUUUUACAAGGACGUUGCCAUGGCCGACACAGCCAAAUAAGAGUCGCCCAUUGCGGUGCUGCUUUUGCUGCUGUCUUUUAACUAUAAACGCCAUAUAAAAAUUUAAUGCAAUGUCUUGUGGCCUCUCUUGGCCGCUUUAGCUGCAAGUGUGUUAGUCGUGUACAUGCAGAAGCAGUGCUUUCUUGUCUGAUUAAACAGCAUAUGUCUAGAGGAUCACCGAGAGGAUCAACCCUGUGAAAUUACAAGUUUUAAGAUGCGUACGGUACUAAUUUGUGUAUGUGCCUAUGGCUGACCAUAUCUGUUCAAACGUCUAUCUAUACAUUUUACAUGUCCAUUUUACA